Molecule: ribosomal RNA, 1566 nt
Filed under: Triticum aestivum (bread wheat)
Lineage: Eukaryota; Viridiplantae; Streptophyta; Magnoliopsida; Poales; Poaceae
Description: partial small subunit ribosomal RNA
Source: RNAcentral
AUGUCGACGAAUGGCCUGGAGCUCAACGGCAACUGUGGAGCCGACAUCGCCGGAUUGGAGUUUGAAGUUUUCCCGGUGGAAUCCCAGGAUUCCAUGAGUGCUCCAGGCAUAGAGCUCGAGAAGAACGGAGAAGAAGGGCUGAUCAAAGAUGGGCACAUAUUUGAUGUGUGCUCUGAAGCUACAAGCGGCUGGACGAGGAGGGUGAGGCUUGGGAAGGUACCUGAUGAGAGGCACAUGAACCCGGACAGGAAAACUGCACUUGAGCUGUCUGUCCGAGCUUUUGCCGAAAAAUGUGAAGGGCAUGUCAUCAAUCCAAAAAUUGGCACGGAGUUUGACUCACUGGAUGAGGCGUAUGAGUUCUACAACCUAUAUUCAUGGGAAACAGGAUUUGGGAUAUGGCUGGCAAAAAGUAGGCUGAACGUGCAAAGAAUAAGAUGUAUGCAAGAGAUUGUCUGCGCAUGUGCGGGGUCCCCAUUGAAGGAGAACAGCCGUUCUUCGCAGUGUGGUUGCAGCGCAAUGAUACGGCUGCUCCGAUCAAGAGAUGGCGGUUGGUACAUAUCGGAGCACAAAUCAGGGCACAACCAUCCGCUAUCAAUUACGUGUGGACAGAAAACGCAUUGGAAGUCACAUAGGCAUAUAGAUAGAUACACCAAGGAUCUUGUGAAACAGCUCAGGGAUAAUAAUGUUGGCCUUGGGAAGGUUUUCAGCAUUGUUGGUAGCUUCUUUGGUGUCGCGGAGAAUGUCCCUUUUACAAAAAGGUCGUUGAAGACAUUAUGCAAGAAGCUCAACAAGGAGCAGUCAGAUUUCGAUGCUGUCAAGACAAUGGACCUGCUUGGGGAGAUGAAAGCUAACGAUCCAGAUUUCAACUACACCGUGCAGGUUGACGAGGAGAGUCGCAUAAAGACACUUAUGUGGGUGACCAGCAGGGGGUGCGAUCAGUACAGGUGUUUCGGAGAUGCAAUAACAUUUGACACAACAUACAGGACAAACUUGUAUGAUAUACCGUUUGGUAUCUUUGUUGGAGUCAACAACCACUUCCAGAGCAUAAUUUUCGGUGGAGCGAUGAUGAGGGACGAGAAAGAGGAAACAUUCAAAUGGAUCUUCAAGGAGUUUGUCCGUAUGGUGGGUGGGAAACACCCGCAGACGAUACUUACAGAUCAGGCACGCUCCAUGGAACUGGCGAUCGAAGCAGAACUGCCAAAUACCGUGCACCGUUGGUGCAAAUGGCAUGUUUUGAAAAAAGCUAAGGAGUCCAUAGGUGUUCUUUGGAGCAAGAACAGCGAAUUCAAGCUAGAAUUUCACAAGCUUGUCCAUCACAUGAUCACGGAAGAGGAGUUUGAGGAUGGCUGGAGCCAGAUGCUGGCGAAAUAUUCUUUGAGUAAACAUCCUUUCUUGACCCAGAUAUAUGAGGUCAGGCAUAAGUGGGCGAAGCCGUACUUCAGAGGUGUGUUCUGUGCCAGGAUGACAAGCACUCAGCGGAGCGAGAGCGCCAACCAUCUAUUUAAAGGUUACGUGCCGCCAGGGUGCCCAAUGCAUCUGUUUCUGAAGCAGUUCCAGAAACUGUAG